This is a non-coding RNA of Silurus meridionalis, 654 nucleotides long. The record is from the annotation of a RefSeq genome assembly. Lineage: Eukaryota; Metazoa; Chordata; Actinopteri; Siluriformes; Siluridae.
AUGUUGGCAGAUUAUAAUGCUGACAUUUUCCCUGAGAUAAGAGCAUUCACCAUGUUCACUGUUGUAUUCAUGUGUCUGUGGCUUUUACUGGGUGACUCCAUGGCAGAUUCAAUAGAGUCACUUUUCUCUCCUAAAGUUGUAGAUGAAGGUGAUGAUGUUACUCUGUCCUGCAAAUACAAACCAACCACCUAUUCUACAGGAAACUACCUGCACUGGUACAGACAACAUCCAAAAUCUAGUCCUAAAUUCCUUCUUUAUAUUUCUCAAAGAGGAGAUUUAAGUCCAGACAAACCCCCAGGAAUGACUGCUAAAGUUGAUGAUGGUGAUAAUAAAAGAGUAGAUCUGAUCAUCUCCUCUGCUGCUGUAUCAGACUCUGCUCUAUACUACUGUGCUCUGGUGCCCACAGUGACAGGAAAUCCAGCUGCACUGUACAAAAACCCUGACACAGUUUUACUAUAUGGAAAGCAGCUCUGUCAGUCAUGGUAAGUACAUUACAUGCAUUUUAUGGGGAAAUUGAGCUUCUUUCUUUUCUAAUUUGUAAAGAGUGAUGUGAAUGUGCCAUUUAAUCAGUCUGUAUAUUUCUUUUUUCACAUGUACUAUUACUAUAAAGUUUAAAAGAUUUGGUUGUCAUUGUGCUUAGAUCUUUCUUUAGAU